RNAcentral lists this ribosomal RNA (373 nucleotides) under uncultured bacterium. RNAcentral describes it as "bacterial SSU rRNA". It matches the Rfam family "Bacterial small subunit ribosomal RNA", at positions 28 to 361 of the family's 1533-position model. The record is from RNAcentral.
GAUGAACGCUGGCGGCGUGCCUAAUACAUGCAAGUCGAACGCAUUGUGGUUGAAAUGAUAUGAAGAACUUGUUCAGAUUUGAUUUUCAACAUUGCAAUGAGUGGCGAACGGGUGAGUAACACGUGGGAAACCUACCUCUUAGCAGGGGAUAACAUUUGGAAACAAAUGCUAAUACCGUAUAAUAAUUAAAACCGCAUGGUUUUAGUUUAAAAGAUGGUCUUGCUAUCACUAAGAGAUGGUCCCGCGGUGUAUUAGUUAGUUGGUGAGGUAAUGGCUCACCAAGACAAUGAUACAUAGCCGAGUUGAGAGACUGACCGGCCACAAUGGGACUGAGACACGGCCCAUACUCCUACGGGAGGGCAGCAGUAGGGAA